ACCUACGGGGGGCAGCAGUGAGGAAUAUUGGUCAAUGGGCGGGAGCCUGAACCAGCCAGGCCGCGUGAGGGAAGAAGGUACAGCGUAUCGUAAACCUCUUUUGUCAGGGAACAAAGGCGGGGACUAGUCCCCGGAUGAGGGUACCUGAAGAAAAAGCAUCGGCUAACUCCGUGCCAGCAGCCGCGGUAAUACGGAGGAUGCGAGCGUUAUCCGGAUUUAUUGGGUUUAAAGGGUGCGCAGGCGGCCUGUUAAGUCAGCGGUAAAAGCCCGGUGCUCAACCCCUGCGAGCCGUUGAAACUGGCGGG
RNAcentral lists this ribosomal RNA (305 nucleotides) under uncultured bacterium. RNAcentral's name for it is "bacterial SSU rRNA". It matches the Rfam family "Bacterial small subunit ribosomal RNA", at positions 337 to 640 of the family's 1533-position model. The record is from RNAcentral.